GACGAACGCUGGCGGCGUGCUUAACACAUGCAAGUCGAACGGAAAGGCCCUGCUUUUGUGGGGUGCUCGAGUGGCGAACGGGUGAGUAACACGUGAGUAACCUGCCCUUGACUUUGGGAUAACUUCAGGAAACUGGGGCUAAUACCGGAUAGGAGCUCCUGCUGCAUGGUGGGGGUUGGAAAGUUUCGGCGGUUGUGGAUGGACUCGCGGCUUAUCAGCUUGUUGGUGGGGUAGUGGCUUACCAAGGGUUUGACGGGUAGCCGGCCUGAGAGGGUUACCGGCCACAUGGGGACUGAGAUACGGCCCAGACUCGUACGGGAGGCAGCAGUGGGGAAUAUUGCAGAAUGGGCGGAAGCCUGAGGCAGCAACGCCGCGUGCGGGAUGACGGCCUUCGGGUUGUAAACCGCUGUCGCCUGUGACGAAGAGUGAGUGACGGUAAUGGGUAAAGAAGCACCGGCUAACUACGUG
RNAcentral lists this ribosomal RNA (468 nucleotides) under uncultured bacterium. RNAcentral describes it as "partial 16S ribosomal RNA". It matches the Rfam family "Bacterial small subunit ribosomal RNA", at positions 28 to 507 of the family's 1533-position model. The record is from RNAcentral.